Molecule: ribosomal RNA, 447 nt
Filed under: uncultured bacterium
Lineage: Bacteria
Description: partial 16S ribosomal RNA
Rfam family: Bacterial small subunit ribosomal RNA
Source: RNAcentral
AACGAACGCUGGCGGCAGGCUUAACACAUGCAAGUCGAACGCAUCGCAAGAUGAGUGGCAGACGGGUGAGUAACGCGUGGGAAUCUACCCAUCUCUGCGGAAUAGCUCUGGGAAACUGGAAUUAAUACCGCAUACGCCCUACGGGGGAAAGAUUUAUCGGGGAUGGAUGAGCCCGCGUUGGAUUAGCUAGUUGGUGGGGUAAAGGCCUACCAAGGCGACGAUCCAUAGCUGGUCUGAGAGGAUGAUCAGCCACAUUGGGACUGAGACACGGCCCAAACUCCUACGGGAGGCAGCAGUGGGGAAUAUUGGACAAUGGGCGCAAGCCUGAUCCAGCCAUGCCGCGUGAGUGAUGAAGGCCUUAGGGUUGUAAAGCUCUUUCACCGAUGAAGAUAAUGACGGUAGUCGGAGAAGAAGCCCCGGCUAACUUCGUGCCAGCCGCCGCGGUAA